CCAAUAGCGUAUAUUAAAGUUGUUGCAGUUAAAAAGCUCGUAGUUGAAUUUCAGGCCUGGCUGGACGGUCCGCCCUUCGGGUGAGUACUGUCUGUGGUCGGGUCCUACCUUCUGGCGAAGCGUCAUGGCCUUAACCGGCCGUGGCGGGGAACCAGGACUUUUACUGUGAAAAAAUUAGAGUGUUCAAAGCAGGCAAAUCGCUUGGAUACAUUAGCAUGGAAUAAUGGAAUAGGACAAUGGUUCUAUUUGUUGGUUUCUAGGACCGUUGUAAUGAUUAAUAGGGGUAGUUGGGGGCAUUAGUAUUCAAUUGUCAGAGGUGAAAUUCUUGGAUUUAUUGAAGACUAACUACUGCGAAAGCAUUUGCCAAGGAUGUUUUCAUUAAUCAAGAACGAAAGUUAGGGGAUCGAAGACGAUCAGAUACCGUCGUAGUCUUAACCAUAAACUAUGCCGACUAGGAAUCGGGCGAUGUUGACAAAAUGACGCGCUCGGCACCUCAUG
Molecule: ribosomal RNA, 498 nt
Filed under: uncultured Glomeromycotina
Lineage: Eukaryota; Fungi; Glomeromycota
Description: partial small subunit ribosomal RNA
Rfam family: Eukaryotic small subunit ribosomal RNA
Source: RNAcentral